UAGCAUGAGCAAUCUAGUUCGACAUAAGGCAACACAAAUUUCAAAUUUUCAAUUAUAUGCAAGGCAAAAGGCGAAACAAAGGUACAAUCCAAUGCAAGAACCUGCAGACAAACAACAACGCACGAUAUCAAGGGCUCACUUGUUGAUCCCCUAAAAAAACAUGAGUAGCCUAUUAGUGUGUUCAAUUUGCAUCUUAUCAUGAAUAUAAUUUUGAAUGGUGCUUGGGAUCCUGUAAAAAUCACCAUCUUGCAAGUGAUAACUUCUGGAUGGCGUUGCAGAUACGUGCUAUAAAGUUUAAGUGUAUUCAAAAAAUAGUAGUAAGAAAAAAGAAUGGAGAUACAGCACAUGACAAAAAUGUUGAACUACUAAAAGUGGCAGCAAUUCAAAAAAAAUAAAAUAAAAGCAGAACAUAGCAGCUAAUCAUGAUCAAUUAGGGGAGCACCGAAGCAGAAACAAGCAAGCAACAAACAUCAUGAUCGAACUGCACUUCAAAACCGAAACAAGCAAGGGAACAUCAUAAUCGCUUGCUGCUAGCCGACGAGAGCGGCAUCCCGAAGACGGUGACUAUUUACUAGACUCCUCAGUCAACAGCAUUGUGUGUUGCAGACUCACCAUGGUGGGUCAGUCCUGCAAGCUCCACCAUGCCGAAGGGCAAAGGCGUCAGCCGUGUGCCACAGAUGAACAUCAAUGAACAUAGCAGAACCACAGAUGAACAAAAAAAUAAACAGAGCCAGAGAAGAUCAAAAGUAGGGGAACACCAAAUUUUAAACUUAAAAAACGAGAAGCUCUAAGCAUCAAGGGUUCCAAACCAACAAGCAAACAUCAUCAUCCAUCAUGUCUUUCAGAUCAAACGACUCCAACGAACCACUACUACUACUUGCAGCUAGAUGACACGACGACAGACGACUGGCACCACCGAGCGGCAUCCAGAGGACACCGAGACAGAACACCCAUCAAGUAGCGCGCAGACAUUGGACGAACAGCUUAGUCCACCUCCUCGAUCUUGGGGCCGGCGCCGCCAGCACCGGCGGGCAUGUCCUCGUCCAUGCCCAUGCCGCCGCCCAUGUCCGGCGCGGCGCCCUGGUACAUCUUGGCGAUGAUGGGGUUGCAGAUGCCCUCCAGCUCCUUCAUCUUGUCCUCGAACUCGUCGGCCUCGGCGAGCUGGUUGGCGUCCAGCCAGCUGAUGGUGCCCUCGAUCGCCUCCUCAACCUUCUUCUUGUCGUCGGCGCCGAGCUUGGAGGCGAUCUUGUCGUCCUUGACCGUGUUGCGCAUGUUGUAGGCGUAGUUCUCCAGCGCGUUCUUGGCGUCCACCUUCUUCUU
RNAcentral lists this long non-coding RNA (1320 nucleotides) under Triticum aestivum (bread wheat). Its description in RNAcentral is "long non-coding RNA (TAES_LNC024309)". Lineage: Eukaryota; Viridiplantae; Streptophyta; Magnoliopsida; Poales; Poaceae. The record is from RNAcentral.